Molecule: ribosomal RNA, 406 nt
Filed under: uncultured bacterium
Lineage: Bacteria
Description: bacterial SSU rRNA
Rfam family: Bacterial small subunit ribosomal RNA
Source: RNAcentral
UGGGGAAUUUUCCGCAAUGGGCGCAAGCCUGACGGAGCAACGCCGCGUGAGGGAUGAAGGCCUCUGGGCUGUAAACCUCUUUUCUCAAGGAAGAAGACAUGACGGUACUUGAGGAAUAAGCCACGGCUAAUUCCGUGCCAGCAGCCGCGGUAAUACGGGAGUGGCAAGCGUUAUCCGGAAUUAUUGGGCGUAAAGCGUCCGCAGGCGGUCCUACAAGUCUGCCGUUAAAAAGUGGAGCUCAACUCCAUCACGGCGGUGGAAACUGUAGGACUGGAGUGUGGUAGGGGCAGAGGGAAUUCCCGGUGUAGCGGUGAAAUGCGUAGAUAUCGGGAAGAACACCAGUGGCGAAAGCGCUCUGCUGGGCCAUAACUGACGCUCAUGGACGAAAGCCAGGGGAGCGAAAGGG